GCAAGUCGAGCGGUAACAGGAAUUAGCUUGCUAAUUUGCUGACGAGCGGCGGACGGGUGAGUAAUGCUAGGGAAAUGCCCAGUCGAGGGGGAUAACAGUUGGAAACGACUGCUAAUACCGCAUACGCCCUACGGGGGAAAAGAGGGGAGGUUCGGGCCUUUUGCGCUUGGAUGUACCUAGGUGGGAUUAGCUAGUUGGUGAGGUAAUGGCUCACCAAGGCAACGAUGCCUAGCUGGUUUGAGAGGAUGAUC
Molecule: ribosomal RNA, 251 nt
Filed under: uncultured bacterium
Lineage: Bacteria
Description: partial 16S ribosomal RNA
Rfam family: Bacterial small subunit ribosomal RNA
Source: RNAcentral